Molecule: ribosomal RNA, 501 nt
Filed under: uncultured bacterium
Lineage: Bacteria
Description: partial 16S ribosomal RNA
Rfam family: Bacterial small subunit ribosomal RNA
Source: RNAcentral
AUUGAACGCUGGCGGCAUGCUUUACACAUGCAAGUCGAACGGUAACAGGGUGCUUGCACCGCUGACGAGUGGCGAACGGGUGAGUAAUGCGUCGGAACGCACCGAGUAAUGGGGGAUAACGCAGCGAAAGCUGUGCUAAUACCGCAUACGCUCUGAGGAGGAAAGCGGGGGACCUUCGGGCCUCGCGUUAUUCGAGCGGCCGACGUCUGAUUAGCUAGUAGGUGAGGUAAGAGCUCACCUAGGCGACGAUCAGUAGCGGGUCUGAGAGGACGGUCCGCGACACUGGGAAUGAGACACAGCCCAGACGCCGACGGGAGGAAGCAGUGGGGAAUAUUGGACAAUGGUGGGAACCCUGAUCCAGCCAUACCGCGUGUGUGAAGCAGGCCUUAUUGUUGUAAAGCACUUUAAGCGAGGAGGAGUCUACUUUAGUUAAUACCUAGAGAUAGUGGACGUUACUCGCAGAAUAAGCACCGGCUAACUCUGUGCCAGCCGCCGCCGUAA